RNAcentral lists this ribosomal RNA (247 nucleotides) under uncultured bacterium. RNAcentral's name for it is "partial small subunit ribosomal RNA". It matches the Rfam family "Bacterial small subunit ribosomal RNA", at positions 26 to 285 of the family's 1533-position model. The record is from RNAcentral.
AGGACGAACGCUGGCGGCGUGCUUAACACAUGCAAGUCGAACGAGGUGCUUGCACCUAGUGGCGAACGGGUGAGUAACACGUGAGCAACCUGCCCUUGGCUCUGGGAUAGCCUCCGGAAAACGGGGAUUAAUACCGGACAUGACCUGCUCCUGCAUGGGAGCGGGUGGAAAGUUUUUCGGCCAGGGAGGGGCUCGCGGCCUAUCAGCUUGUUGGGGGGGUAACGGCCCACCAAGGCGACGACGGGUA